RNAcentral lists this transfer RNA (84 nucleotides) under Bradyrhizobium japonicum. Its description in RNAcentral is "tRNA-Ser". Lineage: Bacteria; Pseudomonadati; Pseudomonadota; Alphaproteobacteria; Hyphomicrobiales; Nitrobacteraceae. The record is from RNAcentral.
GCGGUCGAUGACCGGCAUGGGUUCUAGGAUUUGAUCGGAUUUCGAUUCCGAGGGUCGGAGGUUCGAAUCCUUCCGAGCGCGCCA